Molecule: ribosomal RNA, 253 nt
Filed under: uncultured bacterium
Lineage: Bacteria
Description: partial 16S ribosomal RNA
Rfam family: Bacterial small subunit ribosomal RNA
Source: RNAcentral
UACGGAGGGGGCUAGCGUUGUUCGGAAUUACUGGGCGUAAAGCGCGCGUAGGCGGACCUGCAAGUCGGGGGUGAAAGCCCGAGGCUCAACCUCGGAACUGCCUUCGAUACUGCGGGUCUCGAGUCCGGGAGAGGUGAGUGGAAUUCCUAGUGUAGAGGUGAAAUUCGUAGAUAUUCGGAGGAACACCAGUGGCGAAAGCGGCUCUCUGGUCCAAAACUGACGCUGAGGGGCGAAAGCGUGGGGAGCGAACGGG